CCUACGGGUGGCAGCAGUGGGGAAUAUUGCACAAUGGGGGAAACCCUGAUGCAGCGACGCCGCGUGAGUGAAGAAGUAUCUCGGUACGUAAAGCUCUAUCAGCAGGGAAGAAAAUGACGGUACCUGACUAAGAAGCCCCGGCUAACUACGUGCCAGCAGCCGCGGUAAUACGUAGGGGGCAAGCGUUAUCCGGAUUUACUGGGUGUAAAGGGAGCGGAGACGGCAGCACAAGUCUGGAGUGAAAUCCCGGGGCUUAACCCCGGAACUGCUUUGGAAACUGGGCGGCUUGAGUGUAGGAGGGGUAAGCGGAAUUCCUGGUGUAGCGGUGAAAUGCGUAGAUAUUAGGAGGAACACCGGUGGCGAAGGCGGCUUACUGGACUGUAACUGACGUUGAGGCUCGAAAGCGUGGGGAGCAAACAGGAUUAGAUACCCUGGUAGUC
RNAcentral lists this ribosomal RNA (440 nucleotides) under uncultured bacterium. Its description in RNAcentral is "partial 16S ribosomal RNA". It matches the Rfam family "Bacterial small subunit ribosomal RNA", at positions 338 to 795 of the family's 1533-position model. The record is from RNAcentral.